GUAAAGACAAUUAGUUCACUCACGAAUACACACAGACAAUUAGGUAGAUCUCCGCACAAGUCCACACCACGCUCCUAGUAAAACCUUCUCAAUCAAUCACUCACCACCAACACUACUCUCUACCAUUUCUCCAAUGGCCGCCGCCGCCGAUCACUCCGAUGUCGAACUCGAGUUUCGCUUCUUCCGCGUCCACAAAGACGGCACUAUCCACCGAACCCAUCCCCACAUUGACAAAGUCCCACCCUCCGACGACCCGACCACCGAGAUCCGAUCCAAAGACGUCACCAUCUCAACCGACCCACCCAUCUCCGCCCGCAUUUUCCUACCCAACUCCGCCGACCCGAGCCGGAAGCUCCCCCUUCUCCUCUACCUCCACGGCGGCGGCUUCUGCUUCGAGUCGCCCUGCUCCUCCACCUACCACAACUACGUCUCCACCGUCGCCGCUUCCGCCAACGUCAUAGCCGUCUCAGUCGAGUACGGCCUCUUCCCGACCCGGCCCAUUCCCGCUUGCUACGACGACUCCGGGGCCGCCCUACAAAUGGGUCGCGACACAUGCGGACAAAACCGGGUCGGAGCCGUGGAUAAACGACUACGCCGACUUGACCCGCGUCUUCGUCGGCGGGGAUAGCGCUGGAGGGAACAUAGCGCACAAUUUGGUGUCCCGAGUCGGGUCAAUCGGGUUACCAGGAGCG
This 692-nucleotide long non-coding RNA is filed under the name Rosa chinensis. RNAcentral's name for it is "sRNA RchiOBHm_Chr6g0258451". Lineage: Eukaryota; Viridiplantae; Streptophyta; Magnoliopsida; Rosales; Rosaceae. The record is from RNAcentral.